RNAcentral lists this ribosomal RNA (2972 nucleotides) under Chloroidium sp. KL-2023a. RNAcentral's name for it is "large subunit ribosomal RNA". It matches the Rfam family "Bacterial large subunit ribosomal RNA". Lineage: Eukaryota; Viridiplantae; Chlorophyta; Trebouxiophyceae; Watanabeales; Watanabeaceae. The record is from RNAcentral.
UCAAAUAACUAAAGGUUUACGGUGGAUACCUAGGCAUUCAGAGACGAAGAAGGGCGUGGCAACCAACGAAAUACUUCGAGGAGCUGGAAACAAGCAAAGAAUCGAAGAUUCCCUAAUAGGGCAACCUCAAAGAACUACUUAUUGAAUUCAUAAAUAAGAAAGAGAGAACCCGGUGAAUUGAAACAUCUUAGUAGCCGGAGGAAAAGAAAGCAAAAGCGAUUCCCAUAGUAGCGGCGAGCGAAUUGGGAACAGCCUAAACCGAGUGAUUCUUUGUAUUCACUCGGUGUCGUGGGAGGAGAUUUGUGGGUAGACCGCAAGUAGACCUGUAGCUAGGCAGAGGAAGCAGCUGAGUCCUGCACCAUAGAUGGUUAUAGUCCAGUACUUUAAACCUAGCUUAGUUUAUUAUCUUUAAUCCCAAGUAGCAUGGGGCACGUGAAAUCCCGUGUGAAUCUACGAGGACCACCUCGCAAGGCUAAAUACUCCUGAAUGACCGAUAGCGAAAUAGUACCGCGAGGGAAAGGUGAAAAAGAACCUUGGCCAAGGAGUGAAAAAGAACAUGAAACCGUGAUCUGACAAGCGGUGGGAGAGGUUUGACCUUGACCGCGUGCCUGUGGAAGAAUGAGCCGGCGACUUAUAGGGGGUGGCUUGGUUAAGGACUACAAUCCGAAGCCCAAGCGAAAGCAAGUUUGAAGUGUACACACAUUGUGUGUCUAGAGCGAUUUUGUCACUCCUUAUGGACCCGAACCCGAGUGAUCUAGCUAUGGCCAGGAUGAAGCUUGGGUAACACCAAGUGAAGGUCCGAACUCAUCGAUGUUGAAAAAUCGUGGGAUGAGCUGUAGAUAGGGGUGAAAUGCCAAUCGAACUCGGAGCUAGCUGGUUCUCCCCGAAAUGUGUUGAGGCGCAGCGAUUCACGACCUAAAGUACGGUUUAGGGGUAAAGCACUGUUUCGGUGCGGGCUGUUAACGCGGUACCAAAUCGUGGCAAACUAAGAAUACUAAACUUGUAUACCGUGAAUCAGUGAGACAGUGGGGGAUAAGCUUCAUUGUCAAGAGGGAAACAGCCCAGAUCACCAGCUAAGGCCCCAAAAUGACAGCUAAGUGGCAAAGGAGGUGAGAGUGCAGAAACAACCAGGAGGUUUGCUUAGAAGCAGCCAUCCUUUAAAGAGUGCGUAAUAGCUCACUGGUGGAGCGCUCUUGCGCCGAAAAUGUAUGGGACUAAGUUGUCUGCCGAAGCUGUGGGAUAUUAGUCUUUUUGGUAGGGGAGCGUUCUGCUGUAGGUUGAAGCGUAUCUGUAAAGAUGUGUGGACGAGGCAGAAGUGAGAAUGUCGGCUUGAGUAACGCAAACAAUGGUGUGAAUCCAUUGCCCCGAAAACCUAAGGGUUCCUUUACUAGGUUCGUCCAUGAAGGGUUAGUCAGGUCCUAAGAUUAGGCCGAAAGGCGUCGUCGAUGGGAAACAGGUCAAUAUUCCUGUACUACUUGUUAUAUAUGAACUGAGGGACGAAGAAGGCAGCCACACAACAGAUUGGAUCUGUUGAGAGACGGUAGAGGUGAUGAAAGAUAGAACAAAAACUAUUCUUGAGCUAAACCGCGUUAUGUCCUUGUCCCUGAUAAUUCUUCGGAGUUAUCAAGCAAGGUGUGUGUCUACUGCCAUACUUCCAAGAAAAGCUCGAGCUUCUUUAUUAUGACAGUAUCUGUACCCGAAUCCGACACAGGUAGGUUAGUAGAGUAUACUAAGGGGCGCGAGAUAACUCUCUCUAAGGAACUCGGCAAAAUAGCCCCGUAACUUCGGAAGAAGGGGUGCCUCUGAAAGGAGGUCGCAGUGAGCAGGCCCAGGCGACUGUUUACCAAAAACACAGGUCUCCGCUAAGUCGUAAGACAACGUAUGGGGGCUGACGCCUGCCCGGUGCUGGUAGGUGAAGGAAGUUGGUUAUUUGUUUCGAUAGAGAAGCUGACGACCGAAGCCCCAGUGAACGGCGGCCAUAACUAUGAUGGUCCUAAGGUAGCGAAAUUCCUUGUCUGGUAAGUUCAGACCCGCAUGAAAGGCGUAACGAUCUGGGUACUGUCUCGGAGAGAGACUCGGUGAAAUAGACAUGUCUGUGAAGAUGCGGACUACUUACACCCGGACAGAAAGACCCUAUGAAGCUUUACUAUAACUUGACAUUGACUUUGGGCUCCUUUUGCGCAGUCUAGGUGGGAGGCUUUGAUAUCUUGUUUCCGGGCAAGAUGGAGCCAUUUUUGAGAGACCACUCUGAAAGAGCUAAAAUUCUAAUAGUGUUCCUUGAAUCAGGACACUUAACAGUGUCAGGCGGGUAGUUUUUCUGGGGCGGAAACCUCCUAAAAAGUAACGGAGGUGCGCAAAGGUUCCCUCAGGCUGGACGGAAAUCAGCUGUAGAGUGUAAAGGCAUAAGGGAGCUUGACUGCAAGACCUACAAGUCGAGCAGGGGCGAAAGCCGGCCUUAGUGAUCCGACGGUACCGCGUGGAAGGGCCGUCGCUCAACGGAUAAAAGUUACUCUAGGGAUAACAGGCUGAUCUUCCCCAAGAGUCCACAUCGACGGGAAGGUUUGGCACCUCGAUGUCGGCUUAUCAUAUCCUAGAGCGGUAGUACGUUCUAAGGGUCGGGCUGUUCGCCCGUUAAAAUGGUACGUGAGCUGGGUUCAGAACGUUGUGAAACAGUUUGGUCCAUAUCCGGUGUAAGCGUUAGAGUAUUGAGAGAAGCUUUCCUUAGUACGAGAGGACUGGGAAGGACGCACCUCUGGUGUGCCAGUUAUUCCGCCAGGAGUAAACGCUGGGUAGCCAUGUGCGGAGCGGAUAACUGCUGAAAGCAUCUAAGUAGGAAGCCCAUCUCAAGAUGAGUACUCUCUGCAAAGAUUUUUUUGCAGUAGGCCACAGUAAGACAAACUGUUUGAUAGGUGUCAAGUGUAAGAUCAGCAAUGGUUUCAGCUGAGGCACACUAACAGGCCUAGUGAGUUUGA